This 433-nucleotide ribosomal RNA is filed under the name uncultured bacterium. RNAcentral describes it as "partial 16S ribosomal RNA". It matches the Rfam family "Bacterial small subunit ribosomal RNA", at positions 29 to 507 of the family's 1533-position model. The record is from RNAcentral.
AACGAACGCUGGCGGCAUGCCUAACACAUGCAAGUCGAACGAGACCUUCGGGUCUAGUGGCGCACGGGUGCGUAACGCGUGGGAACCUGCCUUUAGGUUCGGAAUAACUCAGAGAAAUUUGAGCUAAUACCGGAUGAUGUCUUCGGACCAAAGAUUUAUCGCCUUUAGAUGGGCCCGCGUUGGAUUAGCUAGUUGGUGGGGUAAAGGCCUACCAAGGCGACGAUCCAUAGCUGGUCUGAGAGGAUGAUCAGCCACACUGGGACUGAGGCACGGCCCAGACUCCUACGGGAGGCAGCAGUGGGGAAUAUUGGACAAUGGGCGAAAGCCUGAUCCAGCAAUGCCGCGUGAGUGAUGAAGGCCUUAGGGUUGUAAAGCUCUUUUACCCGAGAUGAUAAUGACAGUAUCGGGAGAAUAAGCUCCGGCUAACUCCGCG